Molecule: long non-coding RNA, 795 nt
Organism: Vidua chalybeata
Lineage: Eukaryota; Metazoa; Chordata; Aves; Passeriformes; Viduidae
Exons: 5
Source: RefSeq, a predicted model, not a curated record
CUUUAGAGUGCACCCAGCUGGACCAGGGUGUGCAGCAGUGUCCUUUAUAAUUAAUCUUAGACUGGAGGAAAAGGAAAUGGUGAUGGUCCUGCAUUACAGCCAGUCUCUAAUGCUAGUGUCAGCCCCCAGAAGGGCCAGUGACCACCUGAGUUAGUUGUGUGGGGAGUUUGCUUUGGAAAGGUGUCAGAGAAUGGCUUGGGAAAGAAGAACUGAGAGAGGAGAACCCUAAGCUGCCUGGGUGAAAUGAAAAAUUGUAUCUGCUGGAAAUCUACAGGAUCACUUGUCAGAAGAUUACACCUCUGCUGGCCUACAAUCUACAGCAUAGAGUUGUUGAAGUCCUUUCUCUGCCACUUCAGACAGAAGUACCUAAUUCACUACAAUCCCAAACCUGGAUAUACAACAGCAGUAAAGCAAGGUUAUCUUCUUUUGCCACAAGAGGGAUGAGAAAAAAAAAAACAGCUGAAUGUGGUCCUAAACACCAAAGGAUCACGUGGCAUGUUUGAGAGUACAUACAACUACAGGUCAGUACCCUCAGGGAACCAGGACUGGGUAGAUGGCAGCCUUGUGCAGCCCUUCCAAGGCAGUAGAAGUGACUUGGCUUCAGUUAAGAAGAGGUCCAGAAUGGUUCCACCUCAUUCCAAGUGCCUGGAGGCACAUAUGUGUCACACACAGUGCCAACCCACUGGACAAAAGGAUAUAAUCCGGGAUGAUUGAUCAAUUUGAUAUCCUACAGGUUAAUUUUGCCCAUGAAUGGCCAUUGACUUCAGAGCUCUCUCCAUGACCUAUGUUGUUUAA